CGUGGAGUAGCUCAGGUGGUAGAGCUCCCGGCUCCAAACCGGGAAGUCGCGGGUUCGACUCCCGCCUCCAUGU
RNAcentral lists this transfer RNA (73 nucleotides) under Actinosynnema mirum DSM 43827. Its description in RNAcentral is "tRNA-Trp (CCA) (tRNA-Trp-CCA-2-1)". It matches the Rfam family "tRNA". From Rfam's summary of the family: Transfer RNA (tRNA) molecules are approximately 80 nucleotides in length. Their secondary structure includes four short double-helical elements and three loops (D, anti-codon, and T loops). The record is from Rfam by way of RNAcentral. Lineage: Bacteria; Bacillati; Actinomycetota; Actinomycetes; Pseudonocardiales; Pseudonocardiaceae.